GAAACUAUUAGAUUUUGUUUAAGAGAAUUAAAUUCAUAUGAUUUUUUUUAAUUUAAUGUAGGAUGGAGUUGUAAACUUUUUGAAGCUAUGAGUGUGUGUGAUAGAUGGACUUUUUUCUCGACCAUCAGCAGGAAUUAAAGGCAGAAGGUUCGUCGCAUAGACAACUGGCCGGCGAGCUUUGGAUCGCGACCCAUAACUAGAAACCCAUCGCGUUUCGCCGUCGGCCUUUCGAGUACCGCAAACAGGGACAAAAUGGCACUUUCCUUUAACGGGAUAUCUGUUGGUAUUUCCUCCUGGCCCAUGCCCACAGGGCCGACGCGAUCUUUCUACAAACCGAGAUUAAAAACGAGACUCUGCCUUUAAUUUCCCCCUCGUCGCCUGUCGGGGGAAGAAAAAACAACGCCUUUUUCUUCCUGGAGAACGGAGCGGGUUCGACAACCGGACUAGGAGACAGACGAGAUUCGAGAACCCUGACUUCACUUCAACUUAACCUAGAUGAUGUUCAAACGGCGUACGGGAUAUCGAUUCGUCUACCGCGCCGGCGGCCAUACCUGAGUACCAUCAGAUCCAACGACAACAAUAGUCAAUUUAAAGAAUAAAACUGUACGUUUUACAA
Long non-coding RNA from Cimex lectularius (bed bug), 616 nucleotides. RefSeq lists it as uncharacterized. The transcript is spliced from 2 exons. The record is from RefSeq and is a predicted model, not a curated record. Lineage: Eukaryota; Metazoa; Arthropoda; Insecta; Hemiptera; Cimicidae.